RNAcentral lists this ribosomal RNA (253 nucleotides) under uncultured bacterium. RNAcentral's name for it is "partial 16S ribosomal RNA". It matches the Rfam family "Bacterial small subunit ribosomal RNA", at positions 524 to 776 of the family's 1533-position model. The record is from RNAcentral.
UACGAAGGGGGCUAGCGUUGCUCGGAAUCACUGGGCGUAAAGGGUGCGUAGGCGGAUCUUUAAGUCAGGGGUGAAAUCCUGGAGCUCAACUCCAGAACUGCCUUUGAUACUGAGGAUCUCGAGUUCGGGAGAGGUGAGUGGAACUGCGAGUGUAGAGGUGAAAUUCGUAGAUAUUCGCAAGAACACCAGUGGCGAAGGCGGCUCACUGGCCCGAUACUGACGCUGAGGCACGAAAGCGUGGGGAGCAAACAGG